GAUCCUGGCUCAGAAUCAACGCUGGCGGCGUGCCUCAGACAUGCAAGUCGUACGUGAAAGUCCUUCGGGAUGAGUAAAGUGGCGCACGGGUGAGUAACACGUGAGUUAUCUGCCUUUGGGUGGGGAAUACCAACCGGAAACGGUUGUUAAUACCGCAUAACGCUUGCGCUGUAAUGGCGUAUGUUAAAGCGGGGGAUCAGCAAUGACCUCGCGCCUGAAGAGGAGCUCGCGGCAGAUUAGGUAGUUGGUGAGGUAAUGGCUCACCAAGCCUGCGAUCUGUAACCGGCCUGAGAGGGCGGUCGGUCACACUGACACUGACAUACGGGUCAGACUCCUACGGGAGGCAGCAGUCGGGAAUUUUGGGCAAUGGGCGAAAGCCUGACCCAGCAACGCCGCGUGAAGGAUGAAGCAUUUCGGUGUGUAAACUUCGCAAGAAUAGGAAGAAUAAGUUUGAACAAAUAAUUCAAACGAUGACGGUACUAUUUAUAAGCUCCGGCUAACUUCGUGCCAGCAGCCGCGGUAAUACGAGGGGAGCAAGCGUUGUUCGGAUUUACUGGGCGUAAAGGGUGCGUAGGCGGCACCACAAGUCACUUGUGAAAUCUUUGGGCUUAACCCAAAGCGGCCAAGUGAUACUGUGGAGCUAGAGUGCAGAAGGGGCAACUGGAAUUCCCGGUGUAGCGGUGAAAUGCG
Molecule: ribosomal RNA, 690 nt
Filed under: uncultured Acidobacteriota bacterium
Lineage: Bacteria; Pseudomonadati; Acidobacteriota
Description: bacterial SSU rRNA
Rfam family: Bacterial small subunit ribosomal RNA
Source: RNAcentral